UUUGGCCUUACACAUUAGCCCAAUCUGGGCCUACGCUGCUGUGUUUCUCAAUUCCUUCCAGGUAUUUUUAGGCCCUGAACACAUAGAAUGGGGGCUCUGGAACAUUGGAACUCAGAGAGGAUGUGUGGUUUGCCAAGACUAAGCAGGAGGGCCCAUACAUCUUCCUUGUCUACGCUGCUUACAUUGGAGAGGUGAGUAUGGUGAGCAUACUGUGGGGGGAAAAAAACCAAGGGAGGGUAGACUGGGGUCCCUAUUCCUACUUCUCACAGAGUCAAGGGUGGACCCACCUGUUGGGCUCUAGGGAAGGUCAAGGCCUGACCUGUGCUCCCCUGCAGGUGCAGAACACACUACGGAGGAUGACAGAGAAGAAGGCAGCCGAGACACUCUCUGGCCCUUCUGACCUACAGGCUUCAUGUCCCUGGGCCAUGGCCCAGGAGAAUGCCCGAGUCUGGGAUUCUCAGAGAAGAUCUGAUGCUCUGAGAGGCUGUGGAGCUGACAGCGUUUAAGACUUCAGGGGUCUAAAAGGCACGUAUGUGCAGGGUUUUCCUACCAGCCUUUCAGGAGCUCAGUGGCCAGAAGACUUCAGCUCAUCAUCGGAAACCCAGACUGAAUUGUACAGCAGGCAGCCCCAAGUGAGAGAAAAGCAGCUCUGGACCAGACCGGCUGGUCCUUCUGUUUGUCUUAGUUCCUUCCACUUUCCAGAGGCGCCCAUCAGUGCCUGAUAAUAAACCAGGUGUUGAAGCUUUC
This 747-nucleotide long non-coding RNA is filed under the name Mus spicilegus (steppe mouse). RNAcentral describes it as "lncRNA (ENSMSIG00000000348.1)". The record is from RNAcentral. Lineage: Eukaryota; Metazoa; Chordata; Mammalia; Rodentia; Muridae.